This 497-nucleotide ribosomal RNA is filed under the name uncultured bacterium. RNAcentral describes it as "partial 16S ribosomal RNA". It matches the Rfam family "Bacterial small subunit ribosomal RNA", at positions 28 to 507 of the family's 1533-position model. The record is from RNAcentral.
GAUGAACGCUGGCGGCGUGCCUAAUACAUGCAAGUCGAGCGAACGGACGAGAAGCUUGCUUCUCUGAUGUUAGCGGCGGACGGGUGAGUAACAUGUGGAUAACCUACCUAUAAGACUUGGAUAACUUCGGGAAACCGUAGCUAAUACCGGAUAAUAUUUUGAACCGCAUGGUUCAAAAGUGAAAGACGGUCUUGCUGUCACUUAUAGAUGGAUCCGCGCUGCAUUAGCUAGUUGGUAAGGUAACGGCUUACCAAGGCAACGAUGCAUAGCCGACCUGAGAGGAUGAUCGGCCACACUGGAACUGAGACACGGUCCAGACUCCUACGGGAGGCAGCAGUAGGGAAUCUUCCGCAAUGGGCGAAAGCCUGACGGAGCAACGCCGCGUGAGUGAUGAAGGUCUUCGGAUCGUAAAACUCUGUUAUUAGGGAAGAACAUAUGUGGAAGUAACUGUGCACAUCUUGACGGUACCUAAUCAGAAAGCCACGGCUAACUACGUG